RNAcentral lists this ribosomal RNA (425 nucleotides) under uncultured Clostridium sp. Its description in RNAcentral is "bacterial SSU rRNA". It matches the Rfam family "Bacterial small subunit ribosomal RNA", at positions 355 to 794 of the family's 1533-position model. Lineage: Bacteria; Bacillati; Bacillota; Clostridia; Eubacteriales; Clostridiaceae. The record is from RNAcentral.
UGGGGAAUAUUGGGCAAUGGGCGAAAGCCUGACCCAGCAACGCCGCGUGAAGGAAGAAGGCCUUCGGGUUGUAAACUUCUUUUACCAGGGACGAAGGACGUGACGGUACCUGGAGAAUAAGCUCCGGCUAACUACGUGCCAGCAGCCGCGGUAAUACGUAGGGAGCAAGCGUUGUCCGGAUUUACUGGGUGUAAAGGGUGCGUAGGCGGCAGAGCAAGUCAGAUGUGAAAUCCGUGGGCUUAACCCACGAACUGCAUUUGAAACUGUUUUGCUUGAGUGAAGUAGAGGCAGGCGGAAUUCCCUGUGUAGCGGUGAAAUGCGUAGAGAUAGGGAGGAACACCAGUGGCGAAGGCGGCCUGCUGGGCUUUAACUGACGCUGAGGCACGAAAGCGUGGGUAGCAAACAGGAUUAGAUACCCUGGUAGU